Aegilops tauschii subsp. strangulata is the source of this 906-nucleotide long non-coding RNA. RefSeq lists it as uncharacterized. The record is from RefSeq and is a predicted model, not a curated record. Lineage: Eukaryota; Viridiplantae; Streptophyta; Magnoliopsida; Poales; Poaceae.
CUGCCCACUGGGUUCUCUGCCGCGGGCCACCAUCCCCAUGGCAGGCCAGAGAGGAGGAUGAGGGUGCUCCACCACACACGGGUGGGGGCACGUGGGAGGCACGGAGGACGGCGAGCGGCAUCGGCGCACUGGAAGGACGAGGAGGUGCUGCACCUCGCAUCUCCGGCCAGAUCCCAUCGCCGAUGGGAUCGGGCGUCGCUGGCGUGCAGUUUCCAUUUGAUGUGCUCGCGAUUCAGAGCACUGGCGCGUCAUGCUGCUCACAGGGUCUCACCGACGAAGGCUCGCGUUCUGCAGUUCUCUUGCGCAUCCGUUGCGGCUUCAGUGGUCGUGAUGCUCACCGGUGCCUCAUCCCUACGUAGUUUUGUCCAUGGAUCUCUCUGUAGGGUGAGAGUGCUUCAUGUAGUUCGAUACCCGUAGUCGUGCGGUGCAGCAAAAUAGGGCGCGUGCGGGCAAAGUAGUGCGGCAUCGGUAGCCGAACAAAUCAGCUUAACACAAGGCGGUUCGCUGGACUCAUUCAUGUUUGUCCCAGCAGUGCAGUUGACUUGCAGCUGUGCGGGGUGUCUCUCGUUGUAGCUCGGUUGGGUCGUCGGUGCAGUAGGCGAGCACGUGGGAGGACAAUGCACAUCUAGUUGGAUUCCGGUCGUGCGACGCUGCAGUACAGAUGUGUGCGGCAUGCAUUUUUCUGCAUUUUACUUGGUGUGGACGUGCAGUUCUGCGACUGUGGACGUGCAGCUCGAAGGCGCGCGUGUUUGCGGUUCAGUGCUCGUGCAGGUGCAGCUCGUCAUCGCGGGCGCACUGCAGUACGGGUGAGUCAUCGGUGCGGUGCGGCUGGGCGUAAUGUUGCAGUUAUUUAUUGUUGAUUUUCCAGAUUUACAAAGACGUUGUAAGAAAAAAAUUCAAAACUCA